GAAACCACCUUGAAAACUAGCAAUUAAAAAUAUUACAUAAGAUUGAUGGAAAUUGUGUAUUUCAGAAAGCGUACAGAAAAUGACGUUGUUUUUUUAAAAAUGUAAAGAUUGCCUUGGUUUUGUUUCGACCAUUUUAGAGGAUUUCACUUUUAUGUGUAAAUUGAUGAUUAUUUAAUAUUAUUAUUAUAAUUAAAAGUAAUAUUAGUAAUACUUAUUAAUAUUUGUUAAGUCCUAUGAAUAAGUAUUUAUAAUAGGCCCCGCUCAAUAAUACCUCAUUAUAGUUUCUCAAAGCACUCUUGAAAAUGUUCCUAACGAUCAUCGUCGUAUCCAUACUUUUUACUGGAAUUCAACAAGCCGGAGGAUAUCCCAUACCGUCAUCAACUGUUGCUGGUUUAACGGACGUAGCAAACAAAAUACAUACGACUCACAAGCAAAGAUUUUCACAUAUUUUAUUGGCCACCAAAAUUCCAGAUGCUGUCGUUUACCAAGACGUGCAGAAAUUCACAGUAGGACCAGUUUUUUAUUUUGUUUCGAAAAUAUCAGAAAAUUUGUUGACGUCGUCCACGAUCGCACAUAAUAAGAACCCGGAGUUUGCCAGUUCGGUUAUUAUUGAUCAGAGUAAUAAGCAGCAUUUUUUCCCCGAUGACGAGUCCGUUACCCCACCGCUACCCGAAAAAAAAAAUGAGACGACGACCACGUCGGUUUCGACCGACCAAUCGAUGAAUACCACGUCGGUUACCGUCGACGACUCGAAAACAACUGCAAACGAUACCGUGAGCAACUCGGCGCGAACGAAGAGAGUGCCGUGGAAAGAUGAUGGUUCAAGUGCGACUAAAGGGCAGACCGACGAUAAACAAUGGUUUUUUAUGAUGUUGGCGACCAAAGCAGAUCGAAAAACUUCGGCACAGCAGACCACGGAAAAACUAAAAUGGCAAUCAUUUUGGAAAAGAACGAAUGAUAUACGAUUUUCAGGUGAACGGGCAUCCUGUGAUAGACAAGUAGACGACAAAAUAGGUGAUAACACGAACUGGAAAACAUUCGCUACGAUUCCGUAUUGAGAAGAAUUCGAUAGCACAUCAUCCGCCUUCACCAAUAGCACAUGUGAUUCAACUUUUUUUUGGUAGUAACAGUUUUGUGUCCCUCUCCCCACGUACAAAUUGAAUUUUAAUGAAUAGAGAACGAUGGCGUGUAAACAUUACAUAAAUACAGUUUCUAAGUGGUUUUUCUUCCAACUAUUAAGAAAUAUACUGGAAAUUAAGUAAUAUUGAAGAUUGAAAAGAUUCAAAAAAAUGUCAUUAGACAUCUACAUAUUAUACAAAAAACAAUAACAUACGUCAAACCAAUAUAUUCGACACGCUUUUCAAAUCGAAAAUUAUGUGAAUUUAUGUAAAAUUAUGAAUAAUUCCAUAUAAUAUUAAAAUUAAACGUUUAUUUAAACUUAUCGAACUAU
Aphis gossypii (cotton aphid) is the source of this 1450-nucleotide RNA transcript. RefSeq lists it as uncharacterized. Lineage: Eukaryota; Metazoa; Arthropoda; Insecta; Hemiptera; Aphididae. The transcript is spliced from 2 exons. The record is from RefSeq and is a predicted model, not a curated record.